Molecule: non-coding RNA, 253 nt
Filed under: Paenibacillus stellifer
Lineage: Bacteria; Bacillati; Bacillota; Bacilli; Caryophanales; Paenibacillaceae
Description: T-box sequence
Rfam family: T-box leader
About the family: Uncharged tRNA acts as the effector for transcription antitermination of genes in the T-box leader family.
Source: RNAcentral
GAGCAUUCAUGGAUGAGGAGCAGUAAUUUCGGAUACGUUACGCAGAGAGCCGGUGCUUCAGGUGCGAGCCGGUUGACGAUAAUGAAAUGAACUCGCCUCGGAGAAACGGCGCUGAACGGACAUUCCUGUCCAUCUAUUAAGCACCGUCGGUCCGCCACCGUUAUCCGGCGCUUAAGUGAGCAGGGGAAUAGACUGGCAAGGUCGUCCUGCUAAUUAGGGUGGUACCACGGGAAUUCAGCCUCUCGUCCCUAGC